GCAGAGGAGGGGCCCCCACAAAGGCAGCCUGUUUUCAGCUCAACUCAGCAGAUCCCUCAGCUCCAGAAUAUAAUGAGAAAAGUAUCCUCGGCUUGCUUGGGGGCACAGGAGGCUGGGGAGAGAAGGCUAGAUAUGCAGUUCUCCUUCCAUCAUGGAAAUUAUGAAGCUUCUGAAUAUAAGGAAUGAGACCAGAGGCAAUGACACUGGUUUUGUGGGAGACUGCCA
Molecule: long non-coding RNA, 225 nt
Filed under: Ictidomys tridecemlineatus (thirteen-lined ground squirrel)
Lineage: Eukaryota; Metazoa; Chordata; Mammalia; Rodentia; Sciuridae
Description: lncRNA (ENSSTOG00000029776.1)
Source: RNAcentral